This is a long non-coding RNA of Anolis carolinensis (green anole), 2934 nucleotides long. RefSeq lists it as uncharacterized. The record is from RefSeq and is a predicted model, not a curated record. The transcript has 2 exons. Lineage: Eukaryota; Metazoa; Chordata; Lepidosauria; Squamata; Anolidae.
AGAGAGAGAGAGAGAGAGGAGAUACAUACACACACACAUAUAUAUAUACAUAUAUAUAUAUUAUACACACAUAUAUAUCUACAUAUAUAUAUUAUACACACACACACAUAUACAUAUAUAUAUUAUACACACACACAUAUAUAGACCACACUUUACUCUGAUCCCCCCCUUUUGCUUACAGACUGGCACAGACACCCACACCCACCCUUACACAUCGGCUUCCCCUUUCUCAGUUGCCGGCGGAGGUUGUUGUUCAGCUUCCCCCUUUUUCUCCAUUGACAACAAUGAAGGUUCGGAGACAUUCCUUCCCCUUGUUUCCCCUGGUUUGGUUAUUCCUUUAUUAAAGGAAGGUAGGAUUACAGAAUGUGUGUUUGGGAGGGGAGAUCUCUUCUUUCUCUCCCUCCCGCCCCAGAAAGGCGAGAUUUCUUCCCCACUCUUGCUGAAAAGAGGGAAAAUUCCUACAGGAUCUUUGAAUGGGGAGCCUCAGUUACAAAUCUCCCAUGGAAGACUUCAAAAGCACCCAAGUCCUGCGAAUUCUCCAGCUAUAUUUAUUGAGAUUUACUUCGACGGUCUUUAGCUAAUUAAGUAAUUAAUUGCUUAAGCGUUAGGAGCCCGAAGCCUAAUAAUUGGCAGCUUGCUUCAAAUCCACCCAGGGAAGUCCACUCCCAUUCUUUGCGUCUGGGACCCCUUCUGGACUGCCAUAUAGAAUCCGGAUUAUCUGAUUUGAACUGGAUUAUAUGGCAGUGUAGACUCAGAUAAUCCAGUUUAAAGCAAGCAGAUAAUGUGCAUUAUCUGCUUUGGUCAUCUGGAUUAUAUGGCAGUGUAGAAGGGGCCCUACAUUGCCAUAUAAAAUCCGGAUAAUCUGCUUUGAACUGGAUUAUAUGGCAGAGUAGACUCGGAUAAUCCAGUUCAAAGCAGAUUAUGUGGAUUAUCUGCUUUGAUCUUCUGGAUUAUAUGGCAGUGUAGAAGGGGCCCUACACUGUCAUAUAAAAUCCAGAUUAUCUACUUUGAACGGGAUUAUAUAGCAGCGUAAACUCAUAAUCCAGUUCUAUUAUAUUUUAUUAUAUUGUAUUGUUCUGGGCAUGGCCCCAUGUAAGCCGCCCUGAGUCCCCGUUGGGGAGAUGGUGGCGGGGUAUAAAUAAAGUUUAUUAUUUAUUAUUAUUAUUAAAGCAGAUAAUGUGGAUUAUCUGCUUGAUAAGCCACAUCUGCUUUGAACUGGAUUAUCCGAGUCUAUAAUGCCAUAUAAAAUCCAGAUUAUCUGCUUUGAACUGGACUAUAUGGCAAUGUGGACGCAGAUAAUCCAGUUCAAAGCAGAUAAUGUGCAUUAUCUGCUUUGAUAAUCUGGAUCAUAUGGCAGUGUAGAAGAGGCCCUACACUGCCAUAUAAAAUACGGAUUAUCGGCUUUGAACUGGAUUAUAUGGCAGUGUAAAAGAAAAGGUAAUGGUUUUCCCCUGACGUUAAGUCCAGUCAUGUCUGACUUUGGGGGUUGGUGCUCAUCUCCAUUUCUAAGACGAAGAGCCGGCGUUGUCCAUAGACACCUCCAAGGUCAUGACUGCAUGGAGCGCCGUUACCUUCCUGCCGGAGCGGUACCUAUUGAUCUACUCACAUUGGCAUGUUUUCGAACUGCUAGGUUGGCAGGGGCUGGGGCUAACAGCGGCCGUUCAUGCCACUCCCGGGUAUGGCAGUGAAGACUCGGAUAAUCCAGUUCAAAGCAGAUGAUGUGGAUUUUCUGCUUUGACAAUCUGUAUUAUAUGGCAGCAUAGACAGGGCAUUACACUAUCAUUUAAAAUCUGGAUUAUCUGCUAUGAAAUGGAUUAUAUUUAUUUAUUUAUUUACAGAAUUUAUAUUCCGCCCUUCUCACCCCGAUGGGGACUCAGGGCGGAUCACAUUACACAUAUAGGCAAACAUUCAAUGCCUUUUAACAUAGAACACAGACAAGCAAACAUAGGCUCAGAGCGGCCUCGAACUCAUGACCUGGUCAGAGUGAUUCAUUGCAGUUAAUUGCAGCUGGCUUGCUUUCCCGCAUGCACCACAACCCGGCAGUGUAGUCUCGGAUAAUCCAGUUCAAAGCAGAUGAUGUGAUUAUCUGCUUUGAUCAUCUGGAUUAUAUGUCAUUGUAGAAGGGGCCAUAAACAAGAAAUGCAUUGUCCUCAUUAGAUUUGAAACUGAGCUUUCCAAAGUUGUGUUGCGACAUGUUUAUGUGGUGGCUGCAGUGCGUACGUGUGUUCGCACAAUCAUAAAUGACAAAAAAUCUUGGAAAUGCAUGUUAUUAUUAUAGGCCCCUUCUACACUGCCAGAUAAUCCAGGUUAUCAAAGCAGAACAUCCACAUUAUCUGAUUUCAACUGGAUUAUUUUAGGGCCCUUUCAGAUAGGCCCUAUAUCUCAGCAUCUAAUACCAGGUUUUCUGCUUUAAACUGGAUUAUAUGAGUCCCCACUGCCAGAUAAUCUGGGAUAGACAGAAAACCUGGGAUCAGAUCCUGGGAUAUAGGGUCUGUCUGGAAGGGCCCUUAGUCUACACUGUCAUAUAGUCCAGUUCAAAGUAGAUAAUCUGGAUUUUAUACAACUGUGUUGAUGGGGCCUUACAAAUAAUAUUUUUUCUAAAAAUAUUUUUAAAAAUUAGUGUUAGGAGUGACUUGAGAAACUGCAAGUCGCUUCUGGUGUGAGAGAAUUGUCUGUCUGCAAGGAUAUUGCCCAGGGGACGCCUGAAUGUUUUUUGAUGUUUUUACCAUCCUUGUGGGAGGCUUCUCUCAUGUCCCAAAAAUAUAAAUGAAAGGUUUUCAUGAGAUGUGUUGCAUCCCCAUACAUGUGCCUUGUUUUAAAUGUAGUUGUCCUUGUAUUUUAUGAUGUACCGGGCUUCGUCCGCAUGUGAGCCGCCCCGAGUCCCUUCGGGGAGAUGGGGUGGGAUACAAAAAUAAAUUAUUAUUAUUAUUAUUA